CAGUAGCCGCGGGAAUACAGAGGGUGCGAGCGUUAAUCGGAUUUACUGAGCGUAAAGCGUGCGUAGGCGGCUUUUUAAGUCGGAUGUGAAAUCCCUGAGCUUAACUUAGGAAUUGCAUUCGAUACUGGGAAGCUAGAGUAUGGGAGAGGAUGGUAGAAUUCCAGGUGUAGCGGUGAAAUGCGUAGAGAUCUGGAGGAAUACCGAUGGCGAAGGCAGCCAUCUGGCCUAAUACUGACGCUGAGGUACGAAAGCAUGGGGAGCAAACAGGAUUAGAUACCCCUGUAGUCCCUGUCUCUUAUAA
This 301-nucleotide ribosomal RNA is filed under the name uncultured bacterium. RNAcentral describes it as "partial 16S ribosomal RNA". It matches the Rfam family "Bacterial small subunit ribosomal RNA", at positions 509 to 809 of the family's 1533-position model. The record is from RNAcentral.